RNAcentral lists this long non-coding RNA (578 nucleotides) under Corvus moneduloides (New Caledonian crow). Its description in RNAcentral is "lncRNA (ENSCMUG00000018752.1)". Lineage: Eukaryota; Metazoa; Chordata; Aves; Passeriformes; Corvidae. The record is from RNAcentral.
GACGAUUGCAACAGCCCCAGGAGGCACCUCAGCCUCUGUCCCUGCAGCAGGGAGGGACCAGCGCCAGCCCCAGCAGCCCCACGCACAUGGGGCACUCUCGGGUUGGCCCCGGGCACUUGUGCCAGCAGCAACUGGGGCCUGUCCCACCCACCAGCACUGCUAUAAAUCCAGCGUGGUUGGGGCAAAGCAGCAUUCCCUGACCCCAGGGGCAUCUGGAAACAGCCAUUCCUGUUGGGGUUGCUGCUGCCUGAGCACCCACAUCUUUGCCAGGGAGCCCUGUGAAGAGCCGCGAGAGGCAGCAGCCAUGAAGAUCCUGUUCCUGCUCUUCCCCCUGAUCCUCCUGCUGGUGCAGGGUGCUGCAGGAGGUUCAGCUGCAUGCAGGCGCCGAGGGGGACACUGCACCUAUGGGGGUUGCCCCUACCCUGGAAAACCUAUUGGAAGUUGUUCAUCACUAAGGGUGUGCUGCAAAGGGUAAGGACCAGAUUCCUGCUUGAAGAAAGAUUUUCAUCCUUUUUCCCUAGAGGGGUCUGUCACUGAUUUCUUUCUAGCAAAGACGUGAUAAAAUCUCUCCUGCUUUU